Long non-coding RNA from Asterias rubens (European starfish), 495 nucleotides. RefSeq lists it as uncharacterized. NCBI's taxonomy places the organism in Eukaryota, Metazoa, Echinodermata, Asteroidea, Forcipulatida, Asteriidae. The record is from RefSeq and is a predicted model, not a curated record. The transcript is spliced from 3 exons.
GGGUACUGCUCUCAAAGAGAAGUCAUCCCAAGUUUGAACCUGAUUCAGCCCAAUAUGAAGUACUUGCAUAACCACGUCAGCUUCUUCUCGUCUGUCACACUGGCUUCUUCAACUGGGCUACAAGAAACAUCUUGAGCUGAGUGACUUAGGAAUACCAGACGAACGACACCAGGCAAGAUUCAUAUCAGAUUAGCCAGGGGCAUCAUGUCACAAUGGAAGAGUUCUAUAAGAAUGGUUUCGUCGUCGUUUUCAUCAUGUUCCUCGCUAGCUUUGUCAGCUCACACUGCUCAGAGAACUAUAAUUACAUUGUUGUCUCUGAAUCCAUUAACGUACGAACCGCCAUACAGGCCAUGGUUUAUGAGAAAUCCUUGCAUCUCUCUACUGUUGCCACUACGGGAGGCACGAUGGACAUGGGACAGAUCACUUAUCACAUCAGUGGAUGCUAAGUCCGUAGCUGGUUUGUUUCAAGCGAUAAACAACUUAUGGGUUGUUCCA